Molecule: non-coding RNA, 30 nt
Filed under: Rattus norvegicus (Norway rat)
Lineage: Eukaryota; Metazoa; Chordata; Mammalia; Rodentia; Muridae
Source: RNAcentral
UCCUCCUGGAAGGCAAGAAGAGUUGUUAGU